This 216-nucleotide ribosomal RNA is filed under the name Glomeromycotina sp. RNAcentral describes it as "partial small subunit ribosomal RNA". The stretch from base 75 to 216 matches the Rfam family "Eukaryotic small subunit ribosomal RNA", at positions 721 to 864 of the family's 1831-position model. Lineage: Eukaryota; Fungi; Glomeromycota. The record is from RNAcentral.
GGGUCAGUAGGUUGGUCGUGCCACCGGUACGUACUGGUCUCACUGAUGCCUCCCUCCUGAAGAACCGUAAUGCCAUUAAUUUGGUGUUGCGGGGAAACAGGACUGUUACUUUGAAAAAAUUAGAGUGUUUAAAGCAAGCUAACGCUUGAAUACAUUAGCAUGGAAUAAUGAAAUAGGACGAUCGAUCCUAUUUUGUUGGUUUCUAGGAUUGACGUA